AAAAACAUGUCUUUUUGAAUUAAAUUUAAAGUCUAACCUGCCCACUGAUAUAAAUUAAAGGGCCGCAGUAUUUUGACUGUGCGAAGGUAGCAUAAUCAUUAGUCUUUUAAUUGGAGGCUUGUAUGAAUGGUUGAAUGAGAUAUAUACUGUCUUUUUUAAAAUUAUAUAGAAUUUUAUUUUUUAAUUAAAAAGUUAAAAUAAAAUUAAAGGACGAGAAGACCCUAUAGAUCUUUAUUUUUGUUAUUUAUAAAUUAAAAAGAAUUUUAAAAUUUAUAAUUUAAUAAAAAAUUUUAUUGGGGUGAUAUUAAAAUUUAAAAAACUUUUAAAAUUUAUUAACAUAAAUAUAUGAAUAAAUGAUCCAGUUUUAUUGAUUAAAAAUUUAAGUUACCUUAGGGAUAACAGCGUAAUUUUUUUUUAGAGUUCAUAUCGACAAAAAAGAUUGCGACCUCGAUGUUGGAUUAAGAGUUAUUUUUAGGUGUAGAAGUUUAAAGUUUAGGUCUGUUCGACCUUUGAAUUCUUACAUGAUCUGAGUU
This 533-nucleotide ribosomal RNA is filed under the name Culex quinquefasciatus (southern house mosquito). Its description in RNAcentral is "partial 16S ribosomal RNA". It matches the Rfam family "Bacterial large subunit ribosomal RNA", at positions 1809 to 2611 of the family's 2925-position model. Lineage: Eukaryota; Metazoa; Arthropoda; Insecta; Diptera; Culicidae. The record is from RNAcentral.